Molecule: long non-coding RNA, 4795 nt
Organism: Catharus ustulatus (Swainson's thrush)
Lineage: Eukaryota; Metazoa; Chordata; Aves; Passeriformes; Turdidae
Exons: 17
Source: RefSeq, a predicted model, not a curated record
AUAAAGUGUUUCGAGAGGGAAUCGAGAUUUGGUCCUCCAAAGUAGAGCGGUCGGGGACGAAGCCCGGCCCCGGAACCGCCGGAAAUGGCUUUUGUUUGAACCUAAUGAGCAACUGCCCGGCCACACGUGGGCCACGGAGCGCGGGCCGGCGGCACCCGGUGCGGUGUGUUAGCACGGGUGGGACGGGGAUGGCACGGGAAACGGAGUGCGACUGGGAUCCUGCCUGCUAAAAUUCCAAACGGAUCAGGAUUUCUCCCAGACACAAGCUGCAACCACUUAGAACCCCAGCUGCCUUUGACAGUGCAAAAUGCCUCUUCCCAACUGAUAUCGUGGAACUGGGCAGGUGGACUACAACUUCCUGAAAUUUUACGUUGUGUCAAGUAUAACACCUGAGGGUUUUUUCAGCAGGUUUGUCAUAUGACAAAAAGCAUCUGACCUGUCUUCAAGAUGAUGUUUGAGGUUGAAGCUUCAGGUGCCACUCAUAAUAAUAGCCACAGCCUUAGACUCUGGCUGAAGCUGGAGACUCAAGGACCCCAGCAUGCUCAGGAGAGGGUCAGUAGCUGGCAUGUGGGGAUUUGGCCCACAGAACACUGCUAUUCCUGGGAGCUGUGUAAGUUACUAAGAGACAGGAGCCCGGUGCUGGCAGCAAUUUCCUGGACAUUGAGGGAGACUUACUUCGCACCCAAACCGGGUUUGCCUCCCCAGGAAAUGAGACUGGAUAUCAGCAGGAAAGGCAGUGCCCUUGAACUACCCUGAGAUGGCUCUACCCAGCUGGCCCAGAGACCCAGUUCACUGCUCCUGUGAGCCCUCCAGCAGUAUUGCAGGACUCUGAUGAAGCCUUCACCUUCUGCAAUUUGAAGAUGCCAGCUGGGUGGCCUUUGGCAAGAGCCAAGCAGUUGAGGUCUAUUUUGUGAUGAUGGCAUCAGACUGAGUGCAGCUGAAAUGUGUGACCUGAGGCCCUGGGCAUUCUUGGGAGAUGCUGACUAAGGGACAACAGCCCAGUGAUAGCAGCAAUUUUCCAGACGGUGAAGCUUUUUUACUGCACACCUGGCAUCGAUUCUCGUACCUGGAUCUCUGACAGAUAAGUGCUGGGCUCCAACCUACAGAGGGGAUGGGAGCGGGAUGCUGGGUCUGUAAUUGUCAGGAGGGAUUUUUGAGGCAGCUUUGGAGCUGGGGAUGUCCAAGAAGCAGCCCCUUAUUUCCCCAUAAGGGGAGGAGUCUCAAUUUGAUCUCAAUGCAGAACAGGGCAGAGCAGUUCCUCGGGGUGUCAUGUCACUUGUCUCUUGUGUGGUCUGCGUCUUCUGUCUGUAUUGUGUUGUAUGACUCUUAGCCCUUUGAGGGGCCUAUCAGAAACCCUGGACUUAUCCAUAGCAUCUUGUGCUCUCUGCAUUCCUCAGCCUGGCUGCGGUGCCAUCAAACCUUGGUCUCAGGAGCUUGGACAGGCAUCUGACUCUCUUGUGUUUUGGAAAGCAUCCAGUCUGAUGUCUUUUAAGGUCUUCUUCUGAGAUGUGCACCUGAAGGAUCCAUUAUGUCAGAUUGGAACUGGGAAGAAUGGAAGAUAAGAAGAGGAUUCUCAGGCAUCCAUCUCUGCAGUUCUUGAAGCAAAUCAUUCUGCUGGGAUCUUUUUUCAUCGUUGUCAGCUUGCUCUCAUUCUUCCUGCAGUCAUCUCAUUUUGCUUCCCUCAGUCCUUGUGGUUCUUCCUCUUGCUCGGAUUUUUUUCCCUCCUUUGUCAUCCCCUCAUUUGUCAUGUCCUGUGUCACGGGUGCCUGCAUGCAUUUGGGUCGGAGCUGCUCUGCCCUGCUGUGUAGUCUGGGCAUAGGUGUGCUAGGACCAGUCCUGGGGACUUGCUUUUAGUAAUGUGGGGUGGUGUUGGACCCUAGAUGAAAUCUGGAGGUAUAAAGUUAUCCUGCAGCACAUUUGACUUCUGAGUACCUUCCUUUCAGAUGCAGAUGGAUCAGUUCUGAGACUGUGGGCCCAUCCUAGGAAAUGAAGCAGGAUAUCCACUGUCAAGGGGAAGCAGGCCAGGCAGUGUUGUUGAACUACUGAGAUGGCUCUGCCCAGCUGGCCAAGAGACCCAGUUCACGGCUCCUGUGAGCCCUCCAGCAGUAUUACAGGAGUCUGAUGAAGCCUUCACCUUCUUCUAUUUGAAGAUGCCAGCUGGGUGGCCUUUGGCAAGAGCCAAGCAGUUGGGGCAUGCCCUGCUACAACAGUGUCAGCUUCUGACUGCAGCUGAAGUGUGUGACCUGAGCCCCUGGGAAUUCCUGGGAGAUGCUGACUAAAAUACAGCAACCCAGUGGUGGCAGGAAUUUUCCAGAUAGCAGAGCAGCUCUUCACACCUGGCUUGGAUUCUCAUACCUGGAUCUCUGCCAGAUAAGUGCUGGGCUCCAAUCCCCAGAUGGGAUGGGAGCGGGAUGCUGGGUCUGUAAUUGUCAGGAGGGAUUUUUGAGGCAGCUUUGGAGCUGUGGAAGUCCAAGAAGCAGCCCCUUAUUUCCCCAUAAAGGGAAAAGUCUCUUUUUGAUCUUAAGGCUGUAGUACACAGGGCAGAGCAGUUCCUCUGGGUGUCAUGUCACUUGUCUAUUGUGCAGUCUGUGUCUUCUGUGUGUGUUGUAUUGCCUGUCUCUUGCCUUAGCCCUUUGUGGGGCCUAUCAGAAACCCUGGGCUCAUCCAUAGCAUCUUGUGCUCUCUGCAUUCCUCAGCCUGGCUGCGGUGCCAUCAAACCUUGGACUCAUUUGCCAUCUGAAUCUCUUUGCUUUUGAGGAGCAUCCAGUCUAAGGUCUUGUUCUGAGCUUUAUUGACAGCUGUGCACUGCAAAGUUCCAUUACUUGAGAUUGGGUCUUGGAAGAAUGAGAGGAUAAGAGGAUUCUCAGGCAUCCAUCUCUUCAGAUCUUGGAAGAAAUCAUUCUGCUAGCAGAUUUUCUAGCCUUGUCAGCUUGCUGUCAGUCUUCCCUCAGUCAUCUCAAUUUGCAAUCUAUGUCCUCAUGGUCCUUCCUGCUGAGAGAUUUAAUUUUUUUCCUCCCCCUGUCCUCUCCUCGUUUGUCAUGUCCUGUGUCACGGGUGCCUGCAUGCAUUUGGGUGAGAAGCUGCUCUGCCCUGUUGUGUAGUCUGGGUGUACGUGUGCUAGGACCAGUCCUAGGGACUUGAUCUUUUGUAAUGUGGGGUGUAGCUGCACUCUAGACAUCUGCAGAUUGAUCCAAGAAGUCUGGAGUUGUUAAGUUAUCCUGCAGCACUUUGACUUUUGUCAUACCUUCCUUUCAGAUGCAGAUGGAUCCAACCAUGGGACAAGGGCCCCUCCUGGUGCCCUUGAACUACCCUGCGAUGGCUCUGCCCAGCUGGCCAAGAGACCCAGUUCACGGCUCGUGUGAGCCCUCCAGCAGUAUUGCAGGACUUUGAUGAACCUUCACCUUCUCCUGUUUGAAGAUGCCAGCCAGGCAGCCUUUUGCAAUGGCCGAGCAGUUGGGGCCUACCCUGCUAGGACAGUCUCAGCCUCUGACUGCAGCUGAAGCAUGUGAGGUGAGCCCCUGGGCAUUCCUGGGAGAUGCUGACUAAGGGACAACAGCCCAGUGAUGGCAGGAAUUUCCCUGAUGGUGAAGCUUUUUUACUCUACACCUGGCAUGGAUUCUCAUAUCUGGAUCUCUGACAGAUAAGUGCUGGGCUCCAACCCACAGAGGGGAUGGGAGCAGGAUGCUGGGUCUGUAAUUGUCAGGAGGGAUUUUUGAGGCAGCUUUGGAGCUGGGGAUGUCCAAGAAGCAGCCCCUUAUUUCCCCAUAAGGGGAAGAGUCUCAAUUUGAUCUCAAUGCUGAGUUGCACAGGGCAGAGCAGUUCUUCUGGGUGUCAUGUCACUUGUCUCUUGUGCAGUCUGUGUCUUCUGUGUGUGUUGUAUUGCCUGUCUCUUGCCUUAGCCCUUUGAGGGGCCUAUCAGAAACCCUGAGGUCAUCCAUAGCAUCUUGUGCUUUCUGCAUUCAUCAACCUGGCUCUGGUGCCAUCGAACCUUGGUCUUAGGAACUUGGACAGGCAUCUGACUCUCUUCUCUUUUGGAAAGCAUCCAGUCUCAUCUCUUAAGGUCUUGCUCUGUGCUGUAUUGCCAGCUGUGCACCUGAAGGAUCCAUUACAAGAGAUGAGGAAUUAGAGGAAUGGGAAGUUAAGAAGACGAUUCUGAGGCAGCCGUCUCUGCAGUUCUUGGAGCAAAUCAUUCUGCUGGCAUCUUUUUCCAGCCUUGUCAGCUUGCUGUCAGUCUUCCCUCAGUGAUCUCAUUUUGCAUUCUCUCAGUCCUCGUGGUCCUUCUUGCUGAGUUUUUUCGUCCCCCUGUCCUCCCCUCGUUUGUCAUGUCCUGUGUCAUGAGUGCCUGCAUGCAUUUGGUCUGGAGCUGCUCUGCCCUGAUGCCUAGUCAAGAUAGGACAAGGUGCAGGGACUUGCGUUUUGUAACGUGGGGUGGUGUUGGACUCUAAGAUAAGAUCUGCACAUUCACUCAAGAUGUCUGUGGCUGUCCAGCUAUUAUGCUGGGCUUUAAAUUUUGUUCUAAGUUCUUUUUACCUGCAGAUGGUUUACAUCUGAGUCAGAGGGCUCAUCCUGGGUGAGGGGCUUUCCCUGAGGAAGUUAGAUACUCUUUGUCUUUGCAGGAGAAACCUUAAUGGUGACUGUGUUUAUAGCACUUUUCUUUAAUUUUUUAGGACACGAAGCCAGAUAGCAGCAGUCAAGUUGCAGUGGGCAAGGCCAUCCACUUGGAUUUACUUUCAUCGAGGAAGGAUUUUUUGUCCGCUCGUCUUUCUGAAGGUAAGUCUCUGGGCCAGCAUUUGGG